Paramuricea clavata is the source of this 795-nucleotide non-coding RNA. NCBI's taxonomy places the organism in Eukaryota, Metazoa, Cnidaria, Anthozoa, Malacalcyonacea, Plexauridae. The record is from the annotation of a GenBank genome assembly.
GGUGAAUAUACUAUCGACAGUACAGCAAUAAACACAAUAUUGAAGUGCUGUAAUGUGUUACCUCUUUCAUCGUUGACAUCAUGGUAUAGUGGUAAACACCGUGGCCAUAAUGAGAGAAAGUUGUGGAGCAUUCCCAGGUAAAAGUCACAUAACUUUUCCUAUAAUUUUUUUUUAUUUCUUUUUGCCGUUAUUUUAGUCUCCAAGUCGCUCUUCAUAACAGCUUAAUACUCAUAUUUUGAUAAUACUUUGUAUAUUUAGACAAUUUUGAGUCGAUUUUACUGAACGACGCGGUGUAGAGAAUUCUUAUGCGUGGUGAAUAUACUGUCUACAGUACAGCAAUAAACACAACAUUGAAGUGCUGUAAUUUGUUACCUCUUUCAUCGUUGACAUCAUGGUAUAGUGGUAAACACGGUGGCCAUAAUAAGCGAAAGUUGUGGAGCAUUCCCAGGUAAAAGUCUCAUAACUUUUCCUAUAAUUUUUUCUUUAUUUCUUUUUGCCGUUAUUUAGUCUCCAAGUCGCUCUUCAUCACAGCUUAAUUCUCAUAUUUUGAUAAUACUUUGUAUAUUUAGACAAUUUUGAAUCGAUUUAACUGAACGACGCGAUGUAGCGAAUUCUUAUGCGGGGUGAAUAUACUGUCUACAGUACAGCAAUAAACACAACAUUGAAGUGCUGUAAUUUGUUACCUGUUUCAUCGUUGACAUCAUGGUAUAGUGGUAAACAUCGUGGCCAUCUUGUGCGAAAGUUGUGGACCAUUCCCAGGUAAAAGUCUCGUAACUUUUCGUAUUGUUUUUUUUU